CAGCCGCCGCGGUAAUACGAAGGGGGCUAGCGUUGCUCGGAAUGACUGGGCGUAAAGGGCGCGUAGGCGGUCCGGAUAGUCAGAUGUGAAAUUCCUGGGCUUAACCUGGGGGCUGCAUUUGAUACUGUCGAGCUUGAGUAUGGAAGAGGGUCGUGGAAUUCCCAGUGUAGAGGUGAAAUUCGUAGAUAUUGGGAAGAACACCGGUGGCGAAGGCGGCGACCUGGUCCAUAACUGACGCUGAGGCGCGAAAGCGUGGGGAGCAAACAGGAUUAGAUACCCGAGUAGUCCCUGUCUCUUAUAC
RNAcentral lists this ribosomal RNA (301 nucleotides) under uncultured bacterium. Its description in RNAcentral is "partial 16S ribosomal RNA". It matches the Rfam family "Bacterial small subunit ribosomal RNA", at positions 509 to 807 of the family's 1533-position model. The record is from RNAcentral.